UACGUAGGGUGCAGGCGUUAAUCGGAAUUACUGGGCGUAAAGCGUGCGCAGGCGGCUCCUUAAGUCAGAUGUGAAAGCCCCGGGCUUAACCUGGGAACUGCGUUUGAAACUGGGGGGCUAGAGUGUGGAAGAGGGGGGUGGAAUUCCAGGUGUAGCAGUGAAAUGCGUAGAGAUGUGGAGGAACACCGAUGGCGAAGGCAGCCUCCUGGGCCAGCACUGACGCUCAUGCACGAAAGCGUGGGGAGCAAACAGG
Molecule: ribosomal RNA, 253 nt
Filed under: uncultured bacterium
Lineage: Bacteria
Description: partial 16S ribosomal RNA
Rfam family: Bacterial small subunit ribosomal RNA
Source: RNAcentral